RNAcentral lists this precursor RNA (61 nucleotides) under Spodoptera frugiperda (fall armyworm). RNAcentral's name for it is "partial precursor microRNA 40". It matches the Rfam family "mir-190 microRNA precursor family", at positions 10 to 69 of the family's 78-position model. The record is from RNAcentral. Lineage: Eukaryota; Metazoa; Arthropoda; Insecta; Lepidoptera; Noctuidae.
AGAUAUGUUUGAUAUUCUUGGUUGUAUCUUUGCAUCACCCAGGAAUCAAACAUAUUACACA